CUCAGGAUGAACGCUAGCGACAGGCUUAACACAUGCAAGUCGAGGGGCAGCGGGGUUGUAGCAAUACAACUGCCAGCGACCGGCGCACGGGUGAGUAACACGUAUGUAACCUGCCCUCUGCAGGGGGAUAAGCGGAAGAAAUUCCGUCUAAUACCGCAUAAUACAAUUUGGAGACAUCUCCGGGUUGUCAAAGGAGUGAUCCGGCAGAGGAUGGACAUGCGGCGCAUUAGCUAGUCGGCGGGGUAACGGCCCACCGAGGCUACGAUGCGUAGGGGUUCUGAGAGGAAGGUCCCCCACACUGGUACUGAGACACGGACCAGACUCCUACGGGAGGCAGCAGUGAGGAAUAUUGGUCAAUGGGCGGAAGCCUGAACCAGCCAAGUCGCGUGAGGGAAGACGGUCCUAUGGAUUGUAAACCUCUUUUGCAGGGGAGCAAGGCGCGGUACGUGUACCGCGAAGGAGAGUACCCUGAGAAAAAGCAUCGGCUAACUCCGUGCCAGCAGCCGCGGUAAUACGGAGGAUGCGAGCGUUAUCCGGAUUUAUUGGGUUUAAAGGGUGCGCAGGCGGACUGUUAAGUCAGCGGUAAAAUGUCGGUGCUCAACACCGGCCGGCCGUUGAAACUGGCAGCCUUGAGUGAGCGAGAAGUAUGCGGAAUGCGUGGUGUAGCGGUGAGAUGCAUAGAUAUCACGCAGAACUCCGAUUGCGAAGGCAGCAUACCGGCGCUCAACUGACGCUCAGGCACGAAAGCGUGGGUAUCGAACAGGCUUAGAUACCCUGGUAGUCCACGCAGUAAACGAUGAAUGCUCACUGUCCGGGCCGUUUAAGGCCUGGGUGGUCAAGCGAAAGCGUUAAGCAUUCCACCUGGGGAGUACGCCGGCAACGGUGAAACUCAAAGGAAUUGACGGGGGCCCGCACAAGCGGAGGAACAUGUGGUUUAAUUCGAUGAUACGCGAGGAACCUUACCCGGGCUCAAACGGAAGGGGACAGUAUGAGAAAUCAUACAUUCCUUCGGGACCGCUUCCGAGGUGCUGCAUGGUUGUCGUCAGCUCGUGCCGUGAGGUGUCGGCUUAAGUGCCAUAACGAGCGCAACCCCUAUCGACAGUUGCUAGCAGGUAAAGCUGAGGACUCUGUCGAGACUGCCGGCGCAAGCUGUGAGGAAGGCGGGGAUGACGUCAAAUCAGCACGGCCCUUACGUCCGGGGCGACACACGUGUUACAAUGGCAGGUACAGCGGGAGGCCACCCGGCGACGGGGCGCAGAACCCGAAAACCUGUCUCAGUUCGGAUUGGAGUCUGCAACCCGACUCCAUGAAGCUGGAUUCGCUAGUAAUCGCGCAUCAGCCACGGCGCGGU
This 1351-nucleotide ribosomal RNA is filed under the name uncultured bacterium. RNAcentral describes it as "partial 16S ribosomal RNA". It matches the Rfam family "Bacterial small subunit ribosomal RNA", at positions 23 to 1363 of the family's 1533-position model. The record is from RNAcentral.